RNAcentral lists this ribosomal RNA (329 nucleotides) under uncultured eukaryote. RNAcentral's name for it is "partial 18S ribosomal RNA". It matches the Rfam family "Eukaryotic small subunit ribosomal RNA", at positions 1470 to 1796 of the family's 1831-position model. The record is from RNAcentral.
CCCUUAGAUGUUCUGGGCCGCACGCGCGCUACAAUGAUGAAUUCAACGAGUUUAUAACCUUGGUUGAAAAGCCUGGGUAAUCUUUUGAACUUUCGUCGUGAUGGGGCUAGACCCUUGCAAUUAUUGGUCUCCAACGAGGAAUUCCUAGUAAACGCAAGUCAUCAGCUUGCAUUGAUUACGUCCCUGCCCUUUGUACACACCGCCCGUCGCACCUACCGAUUGAAUGGUCCGGUGAAAUCUUCGGAUUGAGACUUUGUUUUCUUCACGGAAAACGCUGUUUUAAAAAGUUGAUUAAACCUUACCAUUUAGAGGAAGGUGAAAUCGUAACA